AUGCACCGUUGUGGGUCCCAGACAACACCACCACAACAACAACAACAACAACAUGUAGAGCAGAUCUUUCCCAGAAGCCCCUCUCUCUCUCUCUCUCUCUCUCUCAGGUCCUCACUGUUAUUCACCCUCGAACGCUGCCUGCUUAUCUUUCUUUUUCCUUUCUUUGCCUCGCUGUUGCGACAGUCUCCAGGGGUGUCCAUGCGCACUUCCUCCCCGUCUUUGCCUCCCCCCCUACACUUCCUCACUCCUCUCUCCCCACCGCCCCCUCUCCAUGCAGUGUGGUAUCGUCCGACGACCGAGGAGGGGGAGAGAGAGGCCGAGCGCGCAGUUGUCGGCUGCAGGUCGUUCGGAGCGGGACGCGCGCAGCGGCUGAGGACGCGGCACCACGGACCCCACAGUCUCUCGCUUAUUCUGGCUGAUUCUCUCCUCAUUCUCUGCACCUGGCUUUGGCACCAACUUGGGGAAUACAAAACAUCUUUCGAAGAAUCAGUUUGUAAAGGACAGGCGGCCCCCUCAGCCCCGGCCCCGCGCCCCAGUGAUGCUAAGCUGCUGUAUCCCGGAGGCCCACCUUGGCAGUUAGAGGAGAGGUCAUCACCAUGACGGCGUCCUCGCAGGACUCCACGCCCUCGUCCGUGGCCCGCCUCGUCCUGCCCCUGCUCCUCCUCCUCCUCCUCCUCCUCCUCCCGGCUGUAUUCGCGCAGAACUCCGUCCCGACGAGUCCGACCCCGCCGCCGUUUGACCCGCUGACCCGGCCGGAGUGCACAAAGAAGGAACAUCCGAAGGUCUCCAUCCAAGGUCAGACCUCCUUUGGAACCGCUCGUUCCCACAUCUGAUAACGCGACACACAACGUUUACAGGGACACAAGGAAACUGGGAGAAAAGCAGGUUACGUACACAGAAGCCGGAUAGUAAUCAGAUACUAGGGCUGCAGCUAACGGUCAUUGUCAUAAUCGAAAAAUCUGUCCAUUAUUUUCCGGAAUAAUCGAUUAGUUCUUUGGUCCAUAAUAUGUCAUAAAAUUGUGAAAAAUGACCAUCCUUUUCCCCCCAAACACAAGAUGAUGUUUUGUUUUGUCCACACACCAAAGAUAUUCGGUUCACUGUCA
This 1103-nucleotide long non-coding RNA is filed under the name Scophthalmus maximus (turbot). Its description in RNAcentral is "lncRNA (ENSSMAG00000006043.2)". Lineage: Eukaryota; Metazoa; Chordata; Actinopteri; Pleuronectiformes; Scophthalmidae. The record is from RNAcentral.